UACGUAGGGUGCAAGCGUUGUCCGGAAUUAUUGGGCGUAAAGAGCUCGUAGGCGGUUUGUCGCGUCUGCUGUGAAAACUCAGGGCUUAACCCUGAGCUUGCAGUGGGUACGGGCAGGCUAGAGUGCGGUAGGGGAGACUGGAAUUCCUGGUGUAGCGGUGAAAUGCGCAGAUAUCAGGAGGAACACCGGUGGCGAAGGCGGGUCUCUGGGCCGUAACUGACGCUGAGGAGCGAAAGCAUGGGGAGCGAACAGG
RNAcentral lists this ribosomal RNA (253 nucleotides) under uncultured bacterium. RNAcentral describes it as "partial 16S ribosomal RNA". It matches the Rfam family "Bacterial small subunit ribosomal RNA", at positions 524 to 776 of the family's 1533-position model. The record is from RNAcentral.